CGCCAGACUCCUACGGGAGGCAGCAGUGAGGAAUAUUGGUCAAUGGGCGAGAGCCUGAACCAGCCAAGUCGCGUGAGGGAGGACGGCCCUACGGGUUGUAAACCUCUUUUGCCGGGGGACAAACGGCGGCACGCGUGCCGUCCUGAGGGUACCCGGAGAAAAAGCAUCGGCUAACUCCGUGCCAGCAGCCGCGGUAAUACGGAGGAUGCGAGCGUUAUCCGGAUUUAUUGGGUUUAAAGGGUGCGUAGGCGGUUCGAUAAGUUAGAGGUGAAAUCCCGGGGCUCAACUCCGGCACUGCCUCUGAUACUGUCGGGCUAGGGUUUAGUUGCGGUAGGCGGAAUGUAUGGUGUAGCGGUGAAAUGCAUAGAGAUCAUACAGAACACCGAUUGCGAAGGCAGCUUACCAAACUACGACUGACGUUGAGGCACGAAAGCGUGGGGAGCAAACAGGAUUAGAUACCCUGGUAAG
Molecule: ribosomal RNA, 468 nt
Filed under: uncultured bacterium
Lineage: Bacteria
Description: bacterial SSU rRNA
Rfam family: Bacterial small subunit ribosomal RNA
Source: RNAcentral